GUAGAGUAGUGUAGAUUAGAGUAGAGUAGUGUAGAGUAGAGUAGUGUAGAGUAGUGUAGAGUAGAGUAGAGUAGAGUAGAGUAGAGUAGAGUAGAGUAGAGUAGUGUAGAGUAGAGUAGUAUAGAGUAGAGUAGAGUAGAGUAGAGUAGAGUAGAGUAGAGUAGAGUAGAGUAGUAUAGAGUAGAGUAGAGUAGAGUAGUGUAGAGUAGAGUAGAGUAGAGUAGAGUAGAGUAGUGUAGAGUAGAGUAGUGUAGAGUAGUGUAGAGUAGAGUAGAGUUGAGUAGAGUAGUGUAGAGGAGAGUAGAGUACUGUAGAGUAGAGUAGUGUAGAGUAGAGUAGUGUAGAGUAGAG
Molecule: long non-coding RNA, 351 nt
Organism: Oncorhynchus tshawytscha (Chinook salmon)
Lineage: Eukaryota; Metazoa; Chordata; Actinopteri; Salmoniformes; Salmonidae
Source: Ensembl